AGCAGCCGCGGUAAUUCCAGCUCCAAUAGCGUAUAUUAAAGUUGUUGCAGUUAAAAAGCUCGUAGUUGAAUUUCGGGGUCAGUAGGUUGGUCAUGCCACUGGUAUGUACUGGUCUCACUGAUUCCUCCUUCCUGAUGAGCCGUAAUGCCAUUAAUUUGGUGUUGCGAGGAAUCUGGACUGUUACUUUGAAAAAAUUAGAGUGUUUAAAGCAAGCUAACGCUUGAAUACAUUAGCAUGGAAUAAUGAAAUAGGACGUUCGAUCCUAUUUUGUUGGUUUCUAGGAUUGACGUAAUGAUUAAUAGGGAUAGUUGGGGGCAUUAGUAUUCAAUUGUCAGAGGUGAAAUUCUUGGAUUUAUUGAAGACUAACUACUGCGAAAGCAUUUGCCAAGGAUGUUUUCAUUAAUCAAGAACGAAAGUUAGGGGAUCGAAGACGAUCAGAUACCGUCGUAG
This 450-nucleotide ribosomal RNA is filed under the name uncultured Glomeromycotina. Its description in RNAcentral is "SSU rRNA". It matches the Rfam family "Eukaryotic small subunit ribosomal RNA", at positions 569 to 1023 of the family's 1831-position model. The record is from RNAcentral. Lineage: Eukaryota; Fungi; Glomeromycota.